CUCAAUGCGUCGUGCCGAGUCCUCAUCCACUCGCCCUCUUCUCAUCCAUCCGGACUCUCCACGAUGAGAUUUGGCCUCCAGCAGGCAAUAUCACUUCCAUCCCAUACUGAAUGAGGAAGGCGUUGCCCCAGUAGAUGUACGUAUCGAAGUACGACACUCCGGAUACCAACUUCGUACUCAGCCACCAUCGUUGGUGCGUUCAAAUGUUACCGGGGAAGCACUAGCUCAUUCACUUUAAACUCUCCCCAUCAGACAUCAGAAUCCGUUCGGAUUCAGGGUCAG
This 282-nucleotide long non-coding RNA is filed under the name Lathyrus oleraceus (garden pea). Its description in RNAcentral is "Pisum sativum (pea) long non-coding RNA (PSAT_LNC041492)". Lineage: Eukaryota; Viridiplantae; Streptophyta; Magnoliopsida; Fabales; Fabaceae. The record is from RNAcentral.